AUGGUCAAGUGAAUAAGUGCAUACGACGGAUGCCUUGGCAUUAGAAGGCGAUGAAGGACGCGACAAUCUGCGAUAAGCUUCGGUUAGCUGAUAAUAAGCAUUAUUAGCCGGAGAUCUCCGA
RNAcentral lists this ribosomal RNA (121 nucleotides) under Candidatus Thioglobus sp. RNAcentral's name for it is "partial 23S ribosomal RNA". It matches the Rfam family "Bacterial large subunit ribosomal RNA", at positions 1 to 117 of the family's 2925-position model. Lineage: Bacteria; Pseudomonadati; Pseudomonadota; Gammaproteobacteria; Pseudothioglobaceae (SeqCode). The record is from RNAcentral.